GACAGAGGAUGCAAGCGUUAUCCAGAAUGAUUGGGCGUAAAGCGUCUGUAGGUGGCUUUUCAAGUCCGCCGUCAAAUCCCAGAGCUCAACCCUGGACAGGCGGUGGAAACUACCAAGCUGGAGUACGGUAGGAUUAGAGGGAAUUUCCGGUGGAGCGGUGAAAUGCAUUGAGAUCGGAAAGAACACCAACGGCGAAAGCACUCUGCUGGGUUGACACUGAUACUGAGACACGAAAGCUAGGGGAGCAAAU
Molecule: ribosomal RNA, 250 nt
Filed under: uncultured bacterium
Lineage: Bacteria
Description: partial 16S ribosomal RNA
Rfam family: Bacterial small subunit ribosomal RNA
Source: RNAcentral